This 730-nucleotide ribosomal RNA is filed under the name uncultured bacterium. RNAcentral's name for it is "bacterial SSU rRNA". It matches the Rfam family "Bacterial small subunit ribosomal RNA", at positions 771 to 1501 of the family's 1533-position model. The record is from RNAcentral.
AACAGGAUUAGAUACCCUGGUAGUCCACGCCGUAAACGAUGUCGACUUGGAGGUUGUGCCCUUGAGGCGUGGCUUCCGGAGCUAACGCGUUAAGUCGACCGCCUGGGGAGUACGGCCGCAAGGUUAAAACUCAAAUGAAUUGACGGGGGCCCGCACAAGCGGUGGAGCAUGUGGUUUAAUUCGAUGCAACGCGAAGAACCUUACCUACUCUUGACAUCCAGAGAACUUAGCAGAGAUGCUUUGGUGCCUUCGGGAACUCUGAGACAGGUGCUGCAUGGCUGUCGUCAGCUCGUGUUGUGAAAUGUUGGGUUAAGUCCCGCAACGAGCGCAACCCUUAUCCUUUGUUGCCAGCGGUCCGGCCGGGAACUCAAAGGAGACUGCCAGUGAUAAACUGGAGGAAGGUGGGGAUGACGUCAAGUCAUCAUGGCCCUUACGAGUAGGGCUACACACGUGCUACAAUGGCAUAUACAAAGAGAAGCGACCUCGCGAGAGCAAGCGGACCUCAUAAAGUAUGUCGUAGUCCGGAUUGGAGUCUGCAACUCGACUCCAUGAAGUCGGAAUCGCUAGUAAUCGUGGAUCAGAAUGCCACGGCGAAUACGUUCCCGGGCCUUGUACACACCGCCCGUCACACCAUGGGAGUGGGUUGCAAAAGAAGUAGGUAGCUUAACCUUCGGGAGGGCGCUUACCACUUUGUGAUUCAUGACUGGGGUGAAGUCGUAACAAGGUAACC